RNAcentral lists this ribosomal RNA (444 nucleotides) under uncultured bacterium. RNAcentral describes it as "partial 16S ribosomal RNA". It matches the Rfam family "Bacterial small subunit ribosomal RNA", at positions 339 to 795 of the family's 1533-position model. The record is from RNAcentral.
CUACGGGACGCAGCAGUGGGGAAUAUUGCACAAUGGGCGAAAGCCUGAUGCAGCAACGCCGCGUGAGGGACGACGGCCUUCGGGUUGUAAACCUCUUUUAGCAGGGAAGAAGCGAAAGUGACGGUACCUGCAGAAAAAGCACCGGCUAACUACGUGCCAGCAGCCGCGGUAAUACGUAGGGUGCAAGCGUUGUCCGGAAUUAUUGGGCGUAAAGAGCUCGUAGGCGGUUUGUCGCGUCUGCUGUGAAAAUCCGAGGCUCAACCUCGGACCUGCAGUGGGUACGGGCAAACUAGGGUGCGGUAGGGGAGAUUGGAAUUCCUGGUGUAGCGGUGGAAUGCGCAGAUAUCAGGAGGAACACCAAUGGCGAAGGCAGAUCUCUGGGCCGUAACUGACGCUGAGGAGCGAAAGCGUGGGGAGCGAACAGGAUUAGAUACCCUAGUAGUC